AAAAAUGCUUUUAGGGGCUGUGUGAGGGAAUAAUUCCCCCUUUUUUUAAAAAAUUUUUGGCACAUGGAAUUUCAGUUUCCUAUAAAUAGAAUCCUCCCCAUCAAUCCUUAGAGAGAUUUUCAGACCCUGAAAACCCUUCUAAAAUUCGGCUUUACUAUUUUACUAGUUGAUCUUCAUUUUCAAUGUUUUUACCUAAAGUUAGAACAAUUUCUUUUUUCUUCUCCUUGGGCAAUUUCUGGUCUUCUAAAUCAAGAUAUGGGUUGAUUUUGAAGUUGUUCUAGUUUUAUUUCAGCUUUGUGUUCUUGCUAUUGAUUCUCCUCAGAAGUUUAGAAAUUUAUUUUCUCUUUCAUUUACUUUUGCUUCUUUAAGGUAUACUUUGAUGAACUUUGUAUGAUUUUGAACUUAAUACAAUCGAUUGGGCUUGAGAUAUAUGAAUUUCAUAUGUUUGUUAUGCUUAUAUAAGGUUAUUCCUUUUUGAAAAUCCGUUGGGUAUGGAAUUAUUGAAUAAAAUGUUGACUCCAUGAUUAUGACUAAAAACAUAUGUGUUAAUUGUGGUAACUGCUAGAUCCAUGCGGUUGUGUGUUUAGGCCAAAGUAUAUAUUUAAGUCCGCUUUUUUUUCGAGAAAUUUCCAUCUGAUGACCCUGUAUUUAGCCUACUGUUAAUCAACUUUAUUUAAGAGUUACUUGAAAAUUUGAAGUUGCUGUCACUUAACAUGGAGUCACUUUAGCACUGUUUUAGCUAAAUUAUUGCCUGAUUAUAGUUUGCAAAGUCUAUGUGAAGGCUUUGAUGCCUGCUUCUAUAACUUUGCUUACCAGUUGGUCAAAUUUAGUGGUUGACUAUCUCAGGUUCAUUGAAGAUUUGGAAUGAAUUAAAACGAGCACAUGUCUGCCAGCGAUAUUUCAUUUUCCCUUUGUAUUUAAAGAUUAAAAUAGUUAUAGCGUUUUGAAUUGAGAGAAUGAGAUUAAUUUUCUUAGUUGUGUAAUCAUAUGUCUUUUUCUUGAGGUUGUACAUGUAUAUGUCUUUUUCUUUAUUCGUUUCAUUUGCAUUUGUUGUAGAAUUCCGUUCUUCUUCAAAGAAGAAAUAUUAAGAUAUUUAUCAAAAGCAAUAGUUAGGUUAUCGUUUAUUAGCUUGGUUGGGUUUUGUAGUCAUCAGGUUUAAGUUGUUGAAUGAGAAGAUGCAUCCCAUUUUUAUAC
Molecule: long non-coding RNA, 1194 nt
Filed under: Nicotiana benthamiana
Lineage: Eukaryota; Viridiplantae; Streptophyta; Magnoliopsida; Solanales; Solanaceae
Description: long non-coding RNA (NBEN_LNC028539)
Source: RNAcentral